UACGUAGGGACCGAGCGUUGUCCGGAUUCAUUGGGCGUAAAGAGCUCGUAGGCGGCCACUCAAGUCGAAUGUGAAACCUCGAGGCUUAACCUCGAGCCUGCAUUCGAUACUGGGCGGCUAGAGUCUGGUAGGGGGAUCUGGAAUUCCUGGUGUAGCGGUGGAAUGCGCAGAUAUCAGGAGGAACACCGGUGGCGAAGGCGGGAUCCUGGGCCAGUACUGACGCUUAGGAGCGAAAGCGUGGGGAGCAAACAGG
This 253-nucleotide ribosomal RNA is filed under the name uncultured bacterium. RNAcentral describes it as "partial 16S ribosomal RNA". It matches the Rfam family "Bacterial small subunit ribosomal RNA", at positions 524 to 776 of the family's 1533-position model. The record is from RNAcentral.